CCUACGGGAGGCAGCAGUCGAGAAUCAUUCACAAUGGGGGAAACCCUGAUGGUGCGACGCCGCGUGGGGGAAUGAAGGUCUUCGGAUUGUAAACCUCUGUCAUGUGGGAGCAAAUUAAAAAGAUAGUACCACAAGAGGAAGAGACGGCUAACUCUGUGCCAGCAGCCGCGGUAACACAGAGGUCUCAAGCGUUGUUCGGACUCACGGGGCGUAAAGCGUGCGUAGGCUGUUUCGUAAGUCGUGUGUGAAAGGCGCGGGCUCAACCCGCGGACGGCACAUGAUACUGCGAGACUUGAGUAAGGGAGAGGGAACCGGAAUGCUCGGUGUAGCAGUGAAAUGCAUAGAUAUCGAGAGGAACACUCGUGGCGAAGGCAGGUUCCUGGACAUUAACUGACGCUGAGGCACGAAGGCCAGGGGAGCGAAAGGGAUUAGAUACCCGUGUAGUC
Molecule: ribosomal RNA, 446 nt
Filed under: uncultured bacterium
Lineage: Bacteria
Description: partial 16S ribosomal RNA
Rfam family: Bacterial small subunit ribosomal RNA
Source: RNAcentral